Molecule: ribosomal RNA, 539 nt
Filed under: Clostridiales bacterium
Lineage: Bacteria; Bacillati; Bacillota; Clostridia; Eubacteriales
Description: bacterial LSU rRNA
Rfam family: Bacterial large subunit ribosomal RNA
Source: RNAcentral
AAAAAGAUCAAGCUACAAAGAGCAUACAGGAGGAUGCCUUGGUACAUGGCGCCGAAGAAGGACGCGACAAGCUGCGAAAAGCUGCGGGGAACUGCAAAUGAGUUACGAUCCGCAGAUAUCCGAAUGAGGGAACUCACCGUAAGUAACGUUACGGUAUCGUACGAUGAAUAAAUAGUCGUGCGAAGGGAACCCGGGGAACUGAAACAUCUAAUUACCCGGAGGAAAAGAAAGUAAAGCAACGAUUCCGAAAGUAGUGGCGAGCGAAAUCGGAAGAGCCCAAACCGCGAGUAGUAAUACUUGCGGGGUGAAGGACUCCGAAAUCCACCGAUAACGGUAGACGAACAGUGCUGGAAAGCACGGCGAAAGAGGGUAAAAGCCCCGUAGUCGAAACUGUUUAAGGGGAGGGAGUAUCCGGAGUACGGCGGGACACGAGGAAUCCUGUCGGAAAAAGCGAGGACCAUCUCGUAAGGCUAAAUACGACCAUGUGACCGAUAGAGUAUAGUACCGUGAGGGAACGGUGAAAAGAACCCCGGGAGGGG